UACCAGCACCCCGAGUGGUCGGGACGAUUAUUGGGCCUAAAGCAUCCGUAGCCGGUUUUACAAGUCCUCCGUUAAAUCCAACUGCUUAACAGAUGGGCCGCGGAGGAUACUAUAAGACUAGGAGGCGGGAGAGGCAAGCGGUACUUAGUGGGUAGGGGUAAAAUCCGUUGAUCCAUUGAAGACCACCAGUGGCGAAGGCGGCUUGCCAGAACGCACUCGACGGUGAGGGAUGAAAGCUGGGGGAGCAAACCGG
RNAcentral lists this ribosomal RNA (253 nucleotides) under uncultured bacterium. RNAcentral describes it as "partial 16S ribosomal RNA". It matches the Rfam family "Archaeal small subunit ribosomal RNA", at positions 474 to 727 of the family's 1478-position model. The record is from RNAcentral.